RNAcentral lists this ribosomal RNA (439 nucleotides) under uncultured bacterium. Its description in RNAcentral is "partial 16S ribosomal RNA". It matches the Rfam family "Bacterial small subunit ribosomal RNA", at positions 338 to 795 of the family's 1533-position model. The record is from RNAcentral.
CCUACGGGAGGCUGCAGUGAGGAAUAUUGCACAAUGGGGGAAACCCUGAUGCAGCGACGCCGCGUGAGUGAAGAAGUAUUUCGGUAUGUAAAGCUCUGUCAGCAGGGAAGAAAAUGACGGUACCUGACCAAGAAGCCCCGGCUAACUACGUGCCAGCAGCCGCGGUAAUACGUAGGGGGCAAGCGUUAUCCGGAUUUACGGGGGGUAAAGGGAGCGUAGACGGCAGUGCAAGUCUGGGGUGAAGGCGGGGGCUCAACCCCCGGACUGCUCUGGAAACUGUACGGCUGGAGUGCAGGAGAGGUAAGUGGAAUUCCUGGUGUAGCGGUGAAAUGCGUAGAUAUUAGGAGGAACACCAGUGGCGAAGGCGGCUUACUGGCCUGUAACUGACGUUGAGGCUCGAAAGCGUGGGGAGCAAACAGGAUUAGAUACCCGUGUAGUC